RNAcentral lists this transfer RNA (87 nucleotides) under Candidatus Aerophobota bacterium. Its description in RNAcentral is "tRNA-Leu". It matches the Rfam family "tRNA". From Rfam's summary of the family: Transfer RNA (tRNA) molecules are approximately 80 nucleotides in length. Their secondary structure includes four short double-helical elements and three loops (D, anti-codon, and T loops). Lineage: Bacteria; Candidatus Aerophobota. RNAcentral also lists the same sequence under 2 other names. The record is from RNAcentral.
GCCGGGAUGGCGGAACUGGUAGACGCGCAUGGUUGAGGGCCAUGUGGACAUUAGUCCUUGGGGGUUCAAAUCCCCCUCCCGGCACCA